RNAcentral lists this long non-coding RNA (215 nucleotides) under Capsicum annuum. RNAcentral's name for it is "long non-coding RNA (CANN_LNC019251)". The record is from RNAcentral. Lineage: Eukaryota; Viridiplantae; Streptophyta; Magnoliopsida; Solanales; Solanaceae.
UGGGAGGUCUCAUGUAACCAACAUACCCUAAUUUGAGCUAAUCGGGGUCCAACCUGUAACCCCGAUUAGAAGGGUGUCAAUACCGUGCCAUAAGUGCUAACACUGGCAGAAAAUUUAGAACCACAAGGUUGAUAUACCAAAGGACCAGGGUGUCAAACCUAAGCUGAUGGGUGAUCCUUGAGAGGAAGUCAAGCCUAAACUGAUGGGCAGCCCCC